Long non-coding RNA from Gallus gallus (chicken), 1137 nucleotides. The record is from Ensembl. Lineage: Eukaryota; Metazoa; Chordata; Aves; Galliformes; Phasianidae.
ACCAGUUUUCUCACCAGGAAAAUAUUCCUCUAGAUCACCUGUCAGUGAGCGCGUAUUUGCUCAGUGAAGGCUACGGCGGUAAGAUUUAUGACCACAUCAUAAAUAACACUGAUUGACAAAGAACUUCCUCCGAACUCUUUGAUCUCCAGACAAACAUGAUACCUGUGUAACAGAGUGCAUUAUAAAUUUAGAGCCAACACAUGCAUUUGGGUCAGGGUUGUUUGGGGUUUUUUUUGUCCCUGUGAUCAGUAUUUGGGGCUGACCCACACUUGCUUUGAAUGGUGGCUUACUUUCUGAGUGCCCUUUUUAUCUCUUACAGGAUGGAACAGAAGGGGACUCCUCUUUGGAAAGAUAGAAUUUGCUGAAGCUCUGGUUUUUGACCAGCUCUCAGAACCACUCUCAGGAGUCAUCCACGUGCUCGGUGGUUGCUGCUCUCUUCAGAGAUUAUAAUCUCCUUCAAGCAGAGACUCAUCUUCUUGCACAACUCUGAAUGCCACUGAAGUCAGAAACUGCACAGCCAUCAACACCGAGAUAAUGCAGAAGCAGGGCUGAACAGAGGACAAUAACGUUUUCUGUGUCACAUUAGCAUCUCAGUGAUAUCUUAAAUGGGAAUGAAAAUCAUGAUAAGCAGUGUGGACACCAUUCAUUCCAAAAGCCAGUAUUUAAAACCCUGAUGUAUUUUGCAAUUCUAUAUCUGAAAGAACAGCUAGGAGUGCCAUGAUCUGCCCCUUUGACAGCCAUGGGAGGUAGAUAUAGAGAAGACAGCCUCAGGCAUGGAUCUGCAGUCACUGCCAGGUACAAAAUUCUCCAAUUUGCAAUGCCACGUGAAAGAUCUCCUGCUGUUUGAGUGCACGUAUGGCCAGCCCAUCUACGAGCAGAUUAAGUAACCCUUCUUUGAUGGACAAUUUUGUUCAACUUUCUUCAUCACAGGCUAAAGUACAUGAGAAGGUAUUAUCAACAUCUGAAAAUAAACUUGCUAUAAUGAGAUUAAUAUGGUUGGUUGAUUACAUUCAGUCAUCAUUUUCUAACCCUGAUUUUAAUUUCGCUCCACAUUUUAAGUUCGUGCUAUAUAAACUCAUAUUUACUUUCUUAUGCUCCUCACUGCACUCAGUUUUCCAAGUUGCUUUCUAAUUUGCU